This 275-nucleotide signal recognition particle RNA is filed under the name Vombatus ursinus (common wombat). RNAcentral describes it as "Metazoan signal recognition particle RNA (ENSVURG00010024087.1)". It matches the Rfam family "Metazoan signal recognition particle RNA". Rfam says of the family: The signal recognition particle (SRP) is a universally conserved ribonucleoprotein. It is involved in the co-translational targeting of proteins to membranes. Lineage: Eukaryota; Metazoa; Chordata; Mammalia; Diprotodontia; Vombatidae. The record is from Rfam by way of RNAcentral.
GCUGGGUGUGGUGGUCCAUACCUGUAGUCCCUGCUUCUGGGGAUGUUGAGGCUGGUGGAUUGCUUGAGUUUCAGUAGGCUAAGCCAAUACAGUGUCCACACUAUGUCUGGCAUCAGUAUGCUGAGCCCCUGAGAGCAGAGGGGCUAGCAGGCUCCCUAAGGAAAGGAAACUUGCUCAGGUCAGAAACAGAGCAAAUCAAAGUUUCUGUGCUGAUCAGGAGUGGGAUCAGCCCACGAGUGGCAGCUACACUUCCAGCCUAGGAGACUCAGUCUCAG